Molecule: RNA transcript, 5142 nt
Organism: Tympanuchus pallidicinctus (lesser prairie-chicken)
Lineage: Eukaryota; Metazoa; Chordata; Aves; Galliformes; Phasianidae
Gene: BTF3L4
Gene name: basic transcription factor 3 like 4
Exons: 8
Source: RefSeq, a predicted model, not a curated record
CGUCACGUGGCGCGAAGCUUCCUUUCUCUGUGCGGCGCUCUUUCCUUCCUCGGCCGCCAUCUUGUUCUCACCGCGUGUUGGGCUGCGGAGGGGCCGCCGAAUUCAGGUCGCGCUUGGCCCGCGGCAGAGCCCGGAUGAACUUGUUAGCCUUGGGUUGGAGCGAUGGCUGCCGGAGGUCCGAGCCGACACAACACUAUGAAUCAAGAAAAACUAGCCAAGCUUCAAGCUCAGGUCCGAAUAGGAGGAAAGGGAACAGCUCGCAGAAAGAAGAAGGUGGUGCACAGAACAGCUACAGCUGAUGACAAAAAACUUCAGAGUUCACUCAAAAAACUGGCAGUAAAUAACAUUGCUGGCAUUGAGGAGGUGAACAUGAUAAAAGAUGAUGGAACAGUUAUUCACUUCAACAACCCCAAGGUUCAGGCAUCCCUCUCUGCUAACACUUUUGCAAUUACUGGUCAUGCAGAGGCUAAACCGAUCACAGAGAUGCUUCCAGGCAUCUUAAGCCAGCUUGGUGCUGACAGCUUAACAAGCCUCAGGAAGUUAGCUGAACAAUUCCCAAGACAAGUGUUGGACAGUAAAGCACCAAAAUCUGAAGAUAUUGAUGAAGAAGAUGAUGAUGUCCCAGAUCUCGUAGAAAACUUUGAUGAAGCAUCAAAGAAUGAAGCUAACUAAAUCAUUAAUAGUUCUGGAAGCUGGCAUGGACUAGAUUUAAGAAAUCAGCUAUGUGGUUCCAAAGUUUUAAAGAAACAGAGAACAUCAUCUGUUAAUAACCAUUUUGCAGACACUGAAGAACUUCAUGGAUUUAUUCAGAAACAUGGGGGCUGCAGUGCCAGUCAAGAAUUCAGGUAGCCAAGCAGAGCAAGUGAAGAGACUUAACUCUAAAAUCGGUCUUGCUGGUAUGUCUGGGUAGAAGCUUGGGUUUAUGCAUAGAGCGUAGUAAUUGGGAACUGGGCUUUUGUCUGGACUCUGGCACUAUAUUUGGCAAGAAGAAACAAAUGCACACAUCUUAAAGUGCCUUAGUUUGCCUUCGUUUUGGGAGCACCACCCUUCCUCACACAAGCACGUGAUGCGUAAAUGAAUAAACAGUCUGGAUGGCUCUUGAGAGAAAAGAGCUGCAUCUGCAAAGGCUGAUUCCACGUGGUAAGCACAUCCUGUUCGUUGGGCCAACAGCCCUAUUGAGCACCCCCUAUUAAACAACAGACCAGCAGUUUGCUCAGAUGCCAUUUUCUUGUGGCAAUCUGGUAUCUGUCAGAUUCUCAAAUGCUAUACAGCAUUUCCUUAAAUCUCUGUUGCGGGUGGACUUCGUGAAUGUGCUUAAUCUGUCACAUCCUUACAGUAAAAAGGGAUUAUUUAAAACUCCAAUGAGCAGAUAAAAGUAUCAAUAGUAAGGCAAAGGUUUAAACAAUAAAAAGGAAUUAUAUUCCGUGGUAUUUUGAGUUGUCAGUGUAUAUAUUCCAGCUGAGUAAUUAUGUGACCUCUCACCCUUUCUUGCAACAUCCUUGUGGCAGCUAUAGUAACUGCUAAUGUCAAAAAGUAAUAUUAGAAAGUAUUUAAUGUAUUUUUAGAUUGUCUGAUGCAACUUAGCAUACAAAGAGGAGCCAGUGCUAUGUGACCAGCUUUCUCCAGACACUGAGAAGUGUUGUGCAAACUGCAUUUUCAUCAGAUCUGACUCUGAGUCCAGAUGUGAAGCUGGAAAUUUCCAAAUGAUGCAAAUUAUUGCCAAAUGUAGGUAAGUGAAAACUUAAAAUCUCAGCAAAUUGUCAGCACCUUUGCACACCAGGAGUAAAGCUUGCUGAUAGGCCUGCACCAAUCUAAUGCUUCCUCACCACCAAGAGAAAUAAAUAGGUCUUGCUUUUUUCUGCUUUCUUGAGCACCAGAAAUAGUUAUCUAAUCUGUGAGGCCAAUUGGAUCACCUUGCUCAGCUGGUUGUAAAUCACUUCUUUUUUUUUGUUAUUUUUCACUUUACUGUGAAAGCUGUACCAGAUGGUUGAUUGUGGUUGUACUUGCAUGUGCUAAAAGCUUGACCAUUGCUUAUCUUGACAGCUUGCUUUCAUUGGUUCAUUCAGCUUGUGAAACUGCAUCCUAAGCGUUGGCAGCAGUGUUUGAACUUGCAGGUCUCAGAUUCCUGCAGAGGAAGCUGUAUGUUCAGGGCCCAUCUGGUUGUCUUUGCCUUGCCACCCGACAGAAAGCUAGCUUUCACUUUCUGCUAAAUAAAUGGUAGCCUUCUUUUAAAAGAAGCAUUUGCACUGCAGUCCUUUUGGGCAGGCUUGGCAGAGGUGACCACACAUCAGUGGGCCCUACAUACUGAACCAGCUUUUUUUUUUUCCCCACCAUUUCUGCUGCUUCUGCCUUUGAGGCUUCUCUUGGCAAGGUGGUAUUUGGAGCUUGCGGUGCUGCUGCCAGAGACAUACUGAGUUUGGAAGAAAGGAAGGAUUUGCCAUAUUGAUGCCUUGGGUGACCAAUCUGGUCAGAUUCUGUAACUCAAAGCUUAUUUUUGAACUUUCUUUUAAUUAUGAAAUAUGGAGGUCAUAACUGGCAAGCUGGUGCCUGCAACAUAGGCUGGAUAAGCUGAAUGCAGAAUGACUUCAGCAUGCUCUUAUUGCACCCACCCUUUGCUCCAGCCAUCCUCUGCUUUGUAGUUACACAGCACCCAAAUAGAGCCUUCCUCCACUGCUCGUUUUGCAUGCCUCUUUUCUUUUUAGAUAGUGAAAAGUGAUGGGGGGAGGGGAACAGGAAUAGAACUUUUUUUUUCUUUUCACUGAAAACCUCAGUCAGUAAAUGGCUUUCAAUGUGAGCUUUAAUAAAUUGCUGUUUCUAUGAUGGAGUCUUAUUUCAAAUGGUUUUCUAACAUGUUGUGUUUAAUUGAAAGUAGCUGUAACUUGCUUACAGUGUUUUCACAGUCUGCAGACUGAUGAUGGAACUAAAGUUUCUCCCUGUUCAAUUUGAAGCGUUUGCUCUAUUUGUAUGUGAGUGACAGUUGCAGUGAUGGAUGGCUUGCAUUUUCUUAAUGUUUCUAAAAGAAAGCAGGGCUUAAAGUAACUUCUACUUUGAACAGGGGUUUCCCACAGCUUGGUUUCUGCAGCUUGAUUGAAAGAUACCAGCAUUUCUCAGAAUCUGCUGCUGGAUAUUUGAGUAUUUUGCUGAGGCUUCUGUUUUGACUCAAAAGAGAUGUCAAUUUUCUGAAAAGCAAGGAAUGCAUUACAUUUUCUAGUAUCUUCUACAUCUUUUCUCUCGGCCUCGUAGUUUGUGUUGUAAAUUAUUAACUUUGGAACGCAGCAAUAUUAUAACCCUUAUUUAUUCUCUUGCCCUUUGAGUUGCAGAAUUGCUUUCAUUGGCAGUUUGUACUGAAAACUGUCAGCCACUUCCAACUCUGAAAUUGUAACAGUUUAUCCCAUUACAUGGUGGUUUUCCAGCUCAGUUCUGUAAACCUUGAAAUUGGCUAUCCAUAAAAAAAAAAUAUUCCUCCCAUUCUUUUAUUUUAAAGGCUACAAGUCAAAUUAGAAGGGGUAAUCUAUUGCUCCUAGUGAUGCAUGCUGUUUCCUGAGGAUUUUGUUAAAUGAGAGAGGGUUUUUAUAGUGCAGUCCUUGUCACUGAGAACUUGGUGACUUUGAGCAGCAUUGCUUGUUCUGUGGGAACAUACAGUGGAAUGUCACAGGUGUCUUAGCUGUUAGAAAGCUUUCCAUGUGUGCUUUUUUCUAGCUUUAAUCUGCAUAAUAUUCUGAGUGCAGUAAGCUGUAAUAAAAGGUUUAGAUGCCUUACACCAACACUUUCUUAGUGGCUGACAGUACCCUCAUCAAGAACACAUACUAAGUGCAUCUUCCUUGGUAACCACUCACAUUGUUUUCUACCUUGAACUGUAAUCAUGAGUUUGUGCUGCCUCACAUAAUAAGAUUUGCAAACACUUGAAAACUGCUUGAGCUCUUUGGUCCUUAAUGACUCAGGACAGCCAGGUAUCAGGAAAGAGCAAAUGAAAAGUAGCCAUUCAAAACAAGACUUCACUUUCCUUGAAUAAACAUGAGAGCUACUUUUUGUGCAUGUUAGUUUUUCUGCUGAGCCAUUAAUCUGUGUUAAGAUUUGUAUGAGAUGUGCCUUUAUUCGCUUUUUACCCUUCAGUUUUAACUUAGAUAAGCCAAGAUGAGAGAGAUGAUGAAAUACUUAUCUGUGAUUAGUCUUACCCUCCUAAACAGUCCCAUGGAAAAUAGCUGUGGGAGAUGGAUUGUCUACCUGCUCAAUAAAAACAAGCCUUAACAGUUGUUGCCAUCACAGUUAAGUAAUCCUGUUAAAGCAAAAGUACGUGAUCUUUGUCAGAACAGAACAUCUCUCUGGUUUUGCUGUUUUCCCUUUAUUUUACCAAGAGUUUUGCUUUUUUUUUUCCCACUCCAGCUCCUGCUUCCCCAGAAGCUUCUUGCUGUACUUACUAUUAUUCUGUGGCAAACUUAGUGUUUAAUCUUAUAUCCUUGGACAUACUGGUUUUGUCAAGCAUUCCUAACUAGUUUACAGUCACAUGGUAAGAACAGGAAUGUACUGUAGUUGCUUAUCUAAUAACUCUUAUUCAGUAGAUCCCAUAAGCCCUUUGAACUUCCAUCCAAGGACCAAAUACGUCAGUGUCCAUGUAUAGGUUACUAACAAACGUCUAGGUGACAAGAAACAACAAACCCCAGAGUUCACUUGGUUUUGGUGGUUUUUUUAUUUUUUUAAGCAAAUUCAGAACAUUCAGCUGACUGAUUUUGAGUUACAGUUCUGAACAACUUAGAGUCUCGUCAUUGAGAUGUUGAAGAAGUAAUAGGGCAGGGCUUCCAAAGUGCUCUGACUCACAGCACUCCACAAAAUCUUAAUCAUGUGAUUUGGCAAGGCAUAAAUAAGCCUGUUUUUUAUAGGCCUAAUUACACUUAAUGAAGAAACAUCCUUUAGCUAGAGCAAGAGGUUGCCACGUAGUUGUGAAGUCAAAAUAUUGCUAUGAGAACAGGAUGGUUCAAGCAGAGCCAUGGAGUUCAUUGGAAUAGCAGGAGUGUGUGCAGUCAUGCCUGUUCUCUCUUGUGUACAUGUAUGUGAGGUGUUGGUAGAGCUUGUCUGUGACAGUAAGACUGACUGAUUCCCUGUUUGCCAUCACUGCUGACCUAAUAAAUGACAUGAUGAAGACUA